Harpia harpyja (harpy eagle) is the source of this 6298-nucleotide long non-coding RNA. RefSeq lists it as uncharacterized. The transcript has 4 exons. The record is from RefSeq and is a predicted model, not a curated record. NCBI's taxonomy places the organism in Eukaryota, Metazoa, Chordata, Aves, Accipitriformes, Accipitridae.
CAUCCAGAAGGCAACAAGCUCUGAGAGGGAAGCUCUAUCUUUUAAUUACUUUUCAAUGGAAAGAACAUUUGGUAACUCCAGGCAAUCUACGUAACAGGAGUCGCUAUAGCACCCUGGACUGGAAAAUUAAAGUAGUGAACAGCAACGUACCUUGCAAUCAUCAGCUGCCACUUCUGGCCUGAGCUGCCCAUCUGCCUCAAACAUCUGUCCGUUCCAGGCCCUGAAGCGCACGGCUUUUUCUGAAGGUUUCUCAGAUGAGCCUUCCCGCCAGACGGAGGUGUUCAGGCAGUGGAUGGUGAUGUGCUGCACCACCUCUGAGCUCAGGAGGCGGAGAAAGUUCAUCUGGACUCUACCGAUGUCAAAAUCCAGCUGUGAAGUGUGCUCUGAACUCACAGCUCCACUGCCCUCAAAACUACACCGACGACGCCCAAUACUGCACCUCCUGCAUGUACCAGCAGAGCUACAGACCCUCCUCUGCACCUUUUGGAUGGCUUGGAGUGCAUAGUUCACCUCCUACACUCAACAUCUCCCAGAGGCUCCAUGCACCGCUCUCAUAACAGCUCUCAUCGAAGACGCUGCUGAGGGGUGCUUGAGCUGGCUCUGCAGCCUGGCUGCCAGCACACACCACGGCCUUGUAACCACAGGCACGAGGAUGACGUGAACAGUCACGCUGCCUUGGAUUAGAUAUCUCUGUGCACAAGCGAGCAGUGAAGAGCAGGGAAGUGUGCACGCUGAAGAGAGCUGUGCCGACACUCCUCCACUCACGCACAAGCUGGUCAUGGGUCUUCUGUAAAACACCCUCCCAGGGUUCUCCCUGCUAUCCCAGCCUGUGGAUCUGCACCCUCUCCUGCAGGAGACAGCUUGGAGUCAGGUCUGAUCAGCUCCAUUCAUCACUAACCGGCUGUCCUUUGGGUCCCGGAUCGCCAGGGCUCCCUGGAAGGCCGGUUCCUCCUGAUGAUCCUCGCUUCCCUGUUUGGCCAGUCUGUCCAGGCAAUCCUCUUUCACCCUAAAAAUAACAGAAUUCAAGUAAUUCCAAAGGACAGGAGCUAAAUAUAACAACACUCAGCCAAAAUAGCCAUAGAUGGAAAGCUGGAAAAGAGUGGCUCAUCGGGAUAAGGAAUGUGGUUUCAUCAGGAGAUGCCUCAGGUCUGCUAAGGCGGAUUGUUGCAGGAUGCACAGGGUGAGACCAGUGACGGGCAUGGCUGUGUCCCCUCCUGAGCUUCAUGCAGAGCAGGAGCUUCAGCAGAGCUGUACUGCCUGCAUCAGGGCUAAGGACAGCAAGGUCCGAGGGGGGUGAAAUGUCUUCUGUUUGCUCUUCCAUAUGUUGUCUGUCCUGCCCUGUCGUUUCUCAUAAUCUCUUCCCCCCAGCAGGCUAGCAAUUGAUGAUUAAUCCAUCUAAAAUGUUGAAGACAUGCCAAGACUUUAGCUGGAGGGCUUCAAUCCAGAGGCUGCAAAGCCAAUAUUUUCCCCAGCACCAACUCUGCAACUUAAGGACAAGAGAGGGGCUUCUGAGACCCAGCACCACACUUUGCUCCCCACCUCUUCCCCUUGCCAAGCCCCAGGAGCAGUACAAGCCCCGGCUACUCGAUCUGGGGCAGACUGGGAGAGAGGAGCAAAGGCGGCAAGAGCCUAGGAUGGUUGAGCAGCUGGAAAAGGGGCAACAAAUUUCCCUGGAGCCAGGGUAUGAAUCUGUCGUAAUGACACAAGGGUCUUUCAGUCAUUUCUGGUAACAGCCUGUUAUUCUACCCAAGGCAGCUGGAGGGCAGCAAGUGACAGUUCAAGAGUGAUGUGUUAUGGGAGACAUAAUUUAAAUCAGACCUGAUAGCCUCUCCAAACCCAGCUGGAGUCUUCCUAUUUACAGAUUUUCUACAAACAGCUGAAUUGCUAUUGGUCCAGUUUACAUCCUGUGGCCAGCCUGGACCAGGGCAAGGACCAGGAAAAAACCCCAAGGUCACUAAAGCAGCUUGUCCCUGCUUCCACCCAGAGCGAUGUCCAAGCCCAUACCGGUUCCAGCCGUUCCAACCCAGUAAAUAUAUGCUAAAAAACAAGCAGCACAAAUUUCCCUUCAGCAGUUCAAGCCUUGCAGGGCAGCAGCUAGAGGACACCCAAAUUUCCCAUGGAGUCAUCCAUCCUGGACAUCCUACAGGCAGGCUGUAGCAGUUCCUUUGCAACUUCUCCAAGGCCAUGUUUUUUACCCAAGUUUCUAAUGAAAGAAGGCUAAAGUGUUCAUAGCGUGGGUAUGUGUAUCUGUAGGCUCCUGAGCUCAGUGAACUUUGACAAAGGAGGAGGGGUCUCUGGGACAUUCAACUGCUGUGAACGUCAUGGAAAUGGAUGGAUGAUGGAUGGAUGGGGAGAAAGAUCUAUAGAGUCUCUAGCUAAGUGAAAGAUGGCAGCAGGAGUCAAGACUUUAUUAGACCUUGGAGAAUCCAAGCUCUAGAGACAAGAAGCUCACAGACUGGACUGCUUGUAGCAGCAUCUCAGGGAGUCAGAAACUCACCUUGAAUCCUGGUGGUCCCUGUGCCCCGGGGAGUCCCGGUAUGCCAGGGUUCCCUCUUUUGCCUGACAUCCCUGUCACACCUUCUUCCCCAUCAUCACCCUGCUCUCCCUAGAAAAGAAACCCAGAAGAGGUUAUGAAACAAGACACUCUUUCUACCUUUGCACAGCUUCUUGGGGGACCAGGGAGUGGUGUGAUUCUGCCCUCAGCAAGCACCAUGCAUCUGGGCGUGGAUGGAUUUGCAGAGAUGUAUAUAGAAGUUUGUGCAUGCAAGUAUCAGUCAGGCUAGAAACACCGGUUUAUUUGCAGACUUGGCCAUGUAAAGGCAGCUGCUGCCUCUAUGUGCAUGUGAGAUAUGAAAAGGAGCAUAUGAUCCACUCUGGGUACAUGUAAACUGGAAUAUCUAUAGCUGGACUACAUCCAUUUCUCCUGUGCUACGUUUUAGUUUUCCAGGUCCUAAGCUGCAUUUGCUAUUGAUGCUCUAAGGUUACAGUUGCAAACUCACCAGCAUCCCAGGCACGCCAUCCUUCCCAGGCACUCCAUCCACUCCAGGGGCACCCUCUUGACCCUGCCUUCCCACCACUCCUCGAGGACCUGGUAGCCCAAGGAUGCCCUAAAAUCACAAAGGUGUUAGCAAUGGAGCUGCCGGGCAGCAUUUGCUGGGGCAGAAAAUUGAAUUUUUACCUACCGGUGAGCCUCUGCUCCCUGCAUUGCCCCGUGUUCCUUGCUUUCCUUUUUGACCCUGCAAGUAAAAAAAAAGACAGACAUCUAAAAUUGCAGCAGUUCUAGCACAACUUCACUUGGGAGCCUGACUUCAGGGUGUGCUUUUGGAUAAUAUUUGGAAAGAGUUUUAUAAAAAGGAGAUUUAUAAAGUCAGUUGCUCCAACACUGGGGAAUGAAAUGCUAUUUGGUUUUAUUACAAGUGAUUCUUCGUAUGUCUUGAGAGUUCUGGGGCAGGAAUGAAUAGCUAGAAGGCAAGGACCUACAUUUUUCCUAAUACAGAGCAGAUGAGGACAAAUAAAGCAGGAUGAACUCAAGGGAGGACUCAGUGCACUGGCAAACAUUAGAACAAGAUGCUUAAAACCUGCGUCCUCUGUCAGUUCACUGACAGCACAGUGCCAAACCAAGGACCCAGCAAGUCUUCUGCAGGGCAUUCAGCAAGAGCUUUUCUCUGCGAGGUAGCUCCUACAAUUUUGGAAAGUUAAUGGAAAUGAGAAGGGUAUCUUGUGUCUAAAAUUUGCAAUGCUGCUUUGUGAAUAAAGAUGUAAAAGAAAUACUCCUGAGCUUUAUUAGCUGUAAAAAGGAUUAAUUUCUGCAGAAUGAAUGGAAAACUCAGCCUCAUCACCUUCACUAGGGCUCUCUUAGUGAGGUCAUGUACUAAUGCACUUUUAAAUUGAAGCGUUGCAUUUUCUGUGCAUUGUUUCUCCAUCUGCAGGGACCAGGCAGGCGAGCUACAUGAAAGAAAUAUUCCUGGGGGUGCUUUCUCCGCUAUUCAUUAGACCCAAAGGCAGUUCCAGAUUGUCCAUCGAUGGGUAGAGUUUAUUUAUCUUAUCGCCUGGUAUGCUUUUUGCCAAGAACACCUACUGUAGGUUAAACUAUCUUCUGGCAUUACCCCAGCAGGGUCAGAUUAAAAAUCCUGACAUCUGCCAAAAGGGAGCAGGAAUUUGCUGAGUAUUGAGGUCACAUUCUUAUGUUUUAGCAAAUAAAGUCCCUGAUCUGUGAGAAUAAUUAGCAAGCUGUCCUUACAGCCAGAUGUGGAGGUAGGAAUAGGUAUGAGGUACCCCAAAGAAUGUUGAAGGACCCAUGCGUGCUGUGUUUUCUUGCUCAAUAAGGGCAAGAAGUUAGAGGGACUCUUCCAAGAAAUGUAACUGCAUGGGUAAUUGGACUCCAAAUCUGGAAGGUUUCAAGCCAGAAAAGUUUACGGUUCAAGUGAAAGAGAGAGACACUUGCCUGGCUCAGACCUCCUUAGGGACAGAGGAGCCAGCUGUGGCUGGAAGCACCACAAACACGGGUAUGGGAAAGAGACACAACCCAUGGCAAUGACUAAAGACCUGCCCAAGAUUCACCCAUCAUGCUGGAGCUGUAAUUGUCUUGAUCUCCGGCUUCACAAGGCCAACAAACUAUUGGGCUUGGACACUCAAAUGCAUGUUUACAGCCCUCCCACCAGGUUCUCCACAGUCUUUCAAGGCGUAGACCAUAGGCCAAAUCAUACAUGCUGGGGAAAAACAUGAGUCCCCUUAAUUAGACAUUUUCUUUAAACUUGGGACACUAUAAAUCCACCCUGCUGAAACCUACCACAUCACCUUUGGAUCCCUUUGCUCCUGGCUGGCCUGGUGGUCCAGGAUCCCCCUACAAAACAUAAGCAAGAAAAAUCUGCUUGAAAUUCUCUUCUGGCAGUAUCCUGCAUGAAGUACAAAGAACAGCAUUUUUGUGCCCUAACAACGCUGACUGUAUGGAAACAAUUCAGGGGAACAGCCUGUGCUCAGACAGGCCUCCUGGGGAAAAAGGAGCAAGGAACUGUCUCCAGAGAGCAUUUAACAGGGUGUCAAUUGGAGAAGAAGCAAUGCUACCCCCUCACUUGGGUGGUGUUUGCAUUCACGGAAAUCAUUCACUAAAUUCCAGAUGGCGCCUGGAAAACAGUGCUGGGAAGUGGGCAGGAAGGAGCCUGUUUUGAGAAAGGUACUGCAGAAGCUACGUGCAGAACGAGUAGUUUAUACAGUGACUACAUCUUUAGUGUUGGUACUACCUCCCUUUUGCAUGCUGCAGCCCUUUCCUUGGUUUCGCCUAGAUGUCAGAUAUUAGAGAGCUACCUAUGGAGGAGUAAAGCAGAGAGGGUAUUUCACUACUCUCUUACUGGUGUCUUCCCCAUCACACACGUCUCCAUCUUUUCUUCUGGCCAUCCAGGAUUUUUUUGUGGGUAUUUGUGUCAGGGGCAAUUUCUGGUCUAAUAUCAAAGAAAUGGUAAGUAAAGACACAUCUGCGGAGCUCUCCUUCUUCAGCUCGUUUCUGAGUCACGUGGUUCUUACGGCUCUUUACUAAAGACAAUCCUAAGCUCCUGCUUCCACCUGAAACACUGACAUCUGAGGGGCUACCACCCCUCAGAAUAAACUACAUCCACUGGGGAAUGCAGCAGCUCUACCCAUUUCUAGGCCGUAUGACAGAGCAGUAAGAUUUUACCCCAAAAUAGAACCUGUUGUUCCCAGGAGCCCUACAAAGAAUAGGAGUUGAUUCAACCUUAUUUCCCAAUAUGAACUACAUUUAACGUGCUGCUGCACUCACAGUUGCAAUAGUCACAUAUAUAAAUUAGAUGCUGCUGUAUAUAGCAAGGGAAUAAAAAGUCCUUCCCUUAAAUUUGGAUAUAAUUUAGUCUUUCAUAAACGCAGUGGUUUGAGAAGAAACACCAUGCAGGCAGAAUAACAUGGUCUUACCUCACAACGCACCAGCUCUCACCAGCAGCAUACCAAAUGUAUCAUUUCCAAGCGGACCCUUCCACUGUCAUCAUCAUCUCCCACUGCCCAUCUCCUAAGAUUUCUAGUCCCUCUUGGAUUGUUCAGAAAAGACAAUUCUGGAGACAGGCUUCUGGGAGUGCACCCUGUUCUGUCACCCAUUCAUUAGUCUCAACGUGAGACUCAAAAUGCCCAUUCUAUAGGCCUGCCUGGCUUAUGGAAAUGCACACGUUGCAUUUCACAGCUCACCACACAUUCCUCACUGCAGCCCUUCCUACCUUCCUUCCUUUUUGCAUCUGUUUUUCACAUGCAUGUGACAUUGGGUAGCUUACAAUAAAGCAGCAUCUCUUACAGGUAA